RNA transcript from Coregonus clupeaformis (lake whitefish), 533 nucleotides. It is a transcript of the gene named mitochondrial import receptor subunit TOM6 homolog, with no coding region annotated. Lineage: Eukaryota; Metazoa; Chordata; Actinopteri; Salmoniformes; Salmonidae. The record is from RefSeq and is a predicted model, not a curated record. The transcript is spliced from 3 exons.
UAGCAUAGACCCUGCUGUCUUUACGUAAUGGUGUUACAUGUAAAUUCUUCCCCAAAUUGGAAAAACUAUCAUUUAGCAUCAAGGCAAGCACUCACACAUUUUUAAAAUGAGCGGAGCUGGGAAAAAGGCUAUCGGGGCACCGUCUGGUGGUGUCGUGGAAUGGAUCAGUACCGCAUGUCGAUUUGCUACAGAUAGAAAUGAUUUCAGAAGGAACCUGAUGGUCAACCUGGGCCUCUUUGCAGCUGGAGUUUGGGUUGCCAGGAAUCUCUCAGAUUUUGACCUGAUGUCCCCUCAACCAAUCACCUAGUGCAAGAACUGGAUGGGCAGGCCAGUAACCUCUCCUCAGAAUUCAUGUUUGAUUACUUUUGGUGUCUCGGACCAAAAUGUCAAUCACAAGGGACAAGAUCUUGGGCUUGUUCGACAGUGCAGGCGACUGCAGACUGAUCUGCAAAGGACCUUGCAUCAUAAAUAACUACUUGUUAUAUUAUUUGUAGGUCUUGUUAACUUAACGCAAUAAAUAACCAGGUAAAUAA